Molecule: long non-coding RNA, 2566 nt
Organism: Aquila chrysaetos chrysaetos
Lineage: Eukaryota; Metazoa; Chordata; Aves; Accipitriformes; Accipitridae
Exons: 2
Source: RefSeq, a predicted model, not a curated record
AAAAUGUGGCUACGUAUCACAGUGCUAUUCAUGUACUUCGUCCCCCUUUCCUCACUUUGCUUUCUACCUGAUAAUUUCAAAGUGUUUUUCUUAGUUUUAUUUCUAUCCAGCAGGUUGCUUUAUUUAUGGGCAAAGCCUAACGGUCUUUGUUUUUCCUGCAGCGUUUCUGCAGGCAAAGCUUGGGGAACAUAAAAGCCUGGGAUCUUGAGGCUGCUAUCAGUUUUUAUAUUAAAAAAUAAUGAUGUGGACAUCAUAAAAUCAAUACAUACUUUUUUUUUCUGAUUUAAGGGGGAAAAAAAGGGGGGGGGGGGGGGGGGCUUAACUGCACAGCAAGGAUUUGCCUCACCAAGCCUGGACUGUGUGAAAUAGAAUUGAUUAUUUGUCACUCUGGAUGCAUCAGAAGAAGGAUGGAGAUGUUUCUCCAAAUGUGACGGUUUCUUUUCAGUGCCAGGUGGGUGUGUGGUAGCAGUUCAAAGCCACGGAAAUCAGUGGAGAGGGGAGACUGAGCUUCCUGCAUGGGAAGAGCAAAAUCACAUUUAAAAACCUGCUUGAGCCGGCAGCUGCAGAAAAGCCAUCAAGAAUACAACCCUGGUAGUGAAGGAGAUCCCCGUGACUGAUUCUCUGAAAUGACUGCAUGGCUCCAGCUCAAGAAAAGCACCGACAUCCCUGUCUCACAGAUUGCUACCACCCAUUAUCGUACCGUACCACUAACUGGAAAGGGAGGUCAGUUCAAUACUGAUUUCCUGGCUGGGCAAUCACCGAUACGAAGCUCCGUUCCUCCCUGUAUAGGUAAAGAUGUCUCUGCUUCCCUUAGAUACGUGCAGAAAAGCCGAGUAGCUUAGCUCAGCUCCUGUGCCCUUUGAUACAAAGCCCGGUUCUGCACACCUAUUGAUUCGGUGCAAGGUGGGGAAGGGAAGUUAAAUCUCCAUCUUGGCCAAAAAGGGUUUUUCUGGAGUUAAGGAUGAAGCUGAGGGCUGCAGUCACAGCAUCUUGGUCAAAUGUGGGUUUUAAACCUGGGAGAAAGGUAAAAGGGCUCUUGGCUGGGUCAGUUUUAACUAAACAACCUCCCUAAAAUAUUAACGGUCAUUAAAUUAUGCUUUUGUUUGCUUCGGAGACAGCUUCCUACAGGACACGGCUGGGAAAGGUGCUGGCAAACAUCGCUGCUCCGAGUGCCUGUCUCGUGGAAACCAGAACUUGGGAAGAUCUCGAGAAGCCAUAUGGACCAUCCCUCAGCCCCGGGGCAGGAUCAGUGCUGGCUAAGACUGUUCCCAGCGUAUUUGCCCAACCUGUUCCGAAAACCUCAAGUGAUGCUGAGCCACCCGCCACCCUCUCUGACCGUGCAGCCUGGUGUUUGUACUCUGUCAAGAGGAGAGAUGUCCUCAUUUCACCAUCCUGGACCGUAUUUUAUUUAGUUUAAUCUAAAAUCUAAACCUGGUUUUGGGACCAGCUUGCUUCUCAGCCGUUUUCUUUUUUUUUUUUUUUUUUUUUUUUUAAUGUUGUUCUUUUUAGAUCCCAGACAGAAAUGCUGUUGAACAGUGAGUAAGGGGGUGAAGAUCCUAGUGCACCAGAAAUCCCCAGACUAUGUGUGAAGGCUCCCCUGUUUAUUUAAACUACCUGGCACCACUUAGAUGCCCAAGGUGCUUUCUGUGGGCGAAAAACAAUAGUAUCUAAUAUAGGGAAUGAGGCAAUGAGGUGCUCCAACUCCUACGAUGGCCUUGGCUGGAGCUUGGAAGCUGCUUUCUAGAAAUUGCCCAUGGGGAAAACAGAAAGCAGAUGUGUGGAGACCAAGGAUGGUCCCAUCUGAGAUCUUUCUAGGCCAAUGCACAGAGCGACUGGAGCAAAUCCCAAUUAUCAACGAGACGCUUUAUUCACUUUAAGAUGAUUUCCUGGGGACCAGAUUCAAGGGAGGAUGUAGCUUGUAAGCCUCUUCCUCUGAAGAGCAGCUGGGUCCUGGGUGAAUGGCCUUGGUUUUGCCCAUGGAAUGCAGAGAAGUAGGUGUUUCGCUGCUGAACAGGCACCUCUUAAAUCCCAAAACGCUCCUGGAGCAUCAGGAGCAGCCCUCCAUCCAGUCGGCUGCCUCGAGGCUGAGUGCUCGCCCAGGGAUUAUUUAAGCCUUUUCACCAUUUCAUCCAAGGGGGUGGCAAAGCCUCUCUGCCUCCCUGACCAGGUGGUGGAAGCGCCUGAAUGGGAAACUUAACCACCAGCCUCUAAUACAGGACCUGAACGCACCUACGAUGCUGUGAGGUGCUCCUACUGGGAAGUUUUUGGAGCUGAACUGACAGUGUCCAGGAAAGAUCAAUGUUGCAGAAAAAAAACCAGCCGAGGAGUUAGGCAUCUUCCAAGCUAUGCAGGCACGGAGCAGGAUGUUAUGGACAACAAAUUUGGACGUAAGCAUCCAAACAUGGAUUUUGAUGGACACGACACCCAAUUUCAUUAUUGAGUCUAACCCUGAGUAUAUCAUGUUGUUUCUUUUGCCAUGACCUGGAAUCAUGUGCUGGAAAUAUUCUUCCAGAGAUGAACUGCUGAUCCCUAUUUAUCCCAGCCAAUAAACCUGUAAAAAUAUGGA